GUCUUCGAAGCUAUUCUUUUGGUCACGAACGUUUUGAGACUCCACAAUCACAAAAUUUCUCCACAAUCCUAAUGAAUGGAGCGGGUAGCGUGUUACUUUUUCUCAAAAAAAAAAUUCUCAACACAGACCGAACCAAUUAUAAUUCGUCAGGUGUUUAAUACUGCUCAUGGAAUCAAGUACCAAUAAGAUUUACUUUAGCCCGAACGACAAAUACAUUGGACUGCCGCUGUUUAGUUU
Molecule: long non-coding RNA, 237 nt
Filed under: Ananas comosus (pineapple)
Lineage: Eukaryota; Viridiplantae; Streptophyta; Magnoliopsida; Poales; Bromeliaceae
Description: long non-coding RNA (ACOM_LNC021623)
Source: RNAcentral